AGACCCGAAACCCGGUGAUCUAGCCAUGGGCAGGUUGAAGGUUGGGUAACACUAACUGGAGGACCGAACCGACUAAUGUUGAAAAAUUAGCGGAUGACCUGUGGCUGGGGGUGAAAGGCCAAUCAAACCGGGAGAUAGCUGGUUCUCCCCGAAAGCUAUUUAGGUAGCGCCUCGUGAAUUCAUCUCCGGGGGUAGAGCACUGUUUCGGCUAGGGGGCCAUCCCGGCUUACCAACCCGAUGCAAACUGCGAAUACCGGAGAAUGUUAUCACGGGAGACACACGGCGGGUGCUAACGUCCGUCGUGAAGAGGGAAACAACCCAGACCGCCAGCUAAGGUCCCAAAGUCAUGGUUAAGUGGGAAACGAUGUGGGAAGGCCCAGACAGCCAGGAUGUUGGCUUAGAAGCAGCCAUCAUUUAAAGAAAGCGUAAUAGCUCACUGGUCGAGUCGGCCUGCGCGGAAGAUGUAACGGGGCUAAACCAUGCACCGAAGCUGCGGCAGCGACGCUGAUGCGUUGUUGGGUAGGGGAGCGUUCUGUAAGCCUGCGAAGGUGACCUGUGAGGGUUGCUGGAGGUAUCAGAAGUGCGAAUGCUGACAUAAGUAACGAUAAAGCGGGUGA
RNAcentral lists this ribosomal RNA (617 nucleotides) under Salmonella enterica subsp. enterica serovar Heidelberg. RNAcentral's name for it is "partial 23S ribosomal RNA". It matches the Rfam family "Bacterial large subunit ribosomal RNA", at positions 711 to 1324 of the family's 2925-position model. Lineage: Bacteria; Pseudomonadati; Pseudomonadota; Gammaproteobacteria; Enterobacterales; Enterobacteriaceae. The record is from RNAcentral.